AUGGAUUGGUCAUCUCUCAGCUGUUCCGCUUGCGUACUGAUCAUUCUGUUCCUGCCGUUGGGUGCAUCUGAUGACCGGCUUGUCCCCGGCAAGCCGCUCUCCCCCGGCACAACCAUUGUCUCGGAUGGCGGUGACUUCGCCUUGGGCUUCUUCUCAUCCGGCUCGAUGCCGUCCAACCUGUACCUCAGCAUCUGGUACAACGGCAUCCCCGAGCUCACCAUGGUAUGGGUCGCCAACCGGGAAACCCCGGUCACGAACAGCACUUCCUCCGCGUCGACGCUCUCCCUCACCAGCACCUCCAAUCUUGUUCUCUCUGAUGGUGCUGACAGUCAUGUUGUCUGGACAACUGACGUGGCUUCCUCAAGCUCGUCUUCACCAGUGGCGGUGCUUCUGAAUACUGGUAACCUCGUCAUCCAGUCACCUAAUGGCAGCAGGGUGUGGCAGAGCUUUGACCACCCGACCGACACGUUCCUACCUGGCAUGAAGAUGCGGAUCAGGUACAGGACACGCGCCGGUGAGCGCCUGGUGUCCUGGAAAGACGCCAGAGACCCCUCUCCUGGGAGCUUCUCCUACGGCUGUGAUCCGGCCACGUCCAUCCAGAUGUUCCUCUGGGACGGGUCGCGCCCGGUGUACCGCAGCACCCCAUGGACGGGGUACCAGGUGAAGAGCGAGGGCGAGUUCCUGAUAACCAACACCAGCGCCAUCAUCAUAUCCCUGGCCUUUGUCACCAACGACGAGGAGAGCUACACAAUGUUUAGCGUCUCGGAUGGUGCCUGGCACACCAGGUUCGUGCUGACCUUCUCUGGCAAGCUCCAGUUCCAAAGCUGGAAUAGUAGCUCUUCGACUUGGGUAGUCUUUGGGCAGUGGCCACGCCACAAAUGCAAUCACUAUGGCUACUGCGGCACGCAUGGCUACUGCGAUGAGACAAUGUUGCCCGUCCCGACGUGCAAGUGCCUCGAUGGUUUUGAGCCAACGAGCACGGAGGAGUGGAACAACAGUGAGUUCUCAAAGGGGUGUCGACGGAAAGAGGCGCUGCGUUGCGGUGAUGGUUUCUUCGCCUUGCCGGGCAUGAAGCCACUGGAUAGGUUCGUGGUCGUUGGAAACACAUCGUCGAAGGAGUGUGCGACGGCAUGCGGCCGCAACUGCUCCUGCAUGGCCUACGCUUACACCAACCUGAGCAGAAGCAUUGCCAACGGAGACAUGACAAGGUGCUUGGUGUGGGUUAGGGAAUUAGUUGACACCGGGAAGCUAGGCACAAGCACCGACAGCGAUACGCUCUAUCUGUGA
This 1287-nucleotide ribosomal RNA is filed under the name Triticum aestivum (bread wheat). RNAcentral's name for it is "partial small subunit ribosomal RNA". Lineage: Eukaryota; Viridiplantae; Streptophyta; Magnoliopsida; Poales; Poaceae. The record is from RNAcentral.